GUUCCCGUAGUGUAGUGGUUAGCACGCAGGAUUUUGACGACUGUCAUCGCGUGCAGUGAAACCUCAGAUUUCCUGAGACGCGAGUUCAAUUCUCGCCGGGAGCU
RNAcentral lists this transfer RNA (104 nucleotides) under Eutypa lata. RNAcentral describes it as "tRNA-Gln". It matches the Rfam family "tRNA". From Rfam's summary of the family: Transfer RNA (tRNA) molecules are approximately 80 nucleotides in length. Their secondary structure includes four short double-helical elements and three loops (D, anti-codon, and T loops). RNAcentral also lists the same sequence under 1 other name. Lineage: Eukaryota; Fungi; Ascomycota; Sordariomycetes; Xylariales; Diatrypaceae. The record is from RNAcentral.